Molecule: transfer RNA, 75 nt
Filed under: Myxococcus xanthus
Lineage: Bacteria; Pseudomonadati; Myxococcota; Myxococcia; Myxococcales; Myxococcaceae
Also listed under: 16 other names
Description: tRNA-Thr
Rfam family: tRNA
About the family: Transfer RNA (tRNA) molecules are approximately 80 nucleotides in length.
Source: RNAcentral
GCCGACAUAGCUCAGCGGUAGAGCAACUGAUUCGUAAUCAGUAGGUCCCCAGUUCAAGCCUGGGUGUCGGCUCCA